GAUGAACGCUGGCGGCGUGCCUAAUACAUGCAAGUCGAGCGAACAGACGAGGAGCUUGCUCCUCUGACGUUAGCGGCGGACGGGUGAGUAACACGUGGAUAACCUACCUAUAAGACUGGGAUAACUUCGGGAAACCGGAGCUAAUACCGGAUAAUAUAUUGAACCGCAUGGUUCAAUAGUGAAAGACGGUUUUGCUGUCACUUAUAGAUGGAUCCGCGCCGCAUUAGCUAGUUGGUAAGGUAACGGCUUACCAAGGCAACGAUGCGUAGCCGACCUGAGAGGAUGAUCAGCCACACUGGAACUGAGACACGGUCCAGACUCCUACGGGAGGCAGCAGUAGGGAAUCUUCCGCAAUGGGCGAAAGCCUGACGGAGCAACGCCGCGUGAGUGAUGAAGGUCUUCGGAUCGUAAAACUCUUUUAUUAGGGAAGAACAAAUGUGUAAGUAACUAUGCACGUCUUGACGGUACCUAAUCAGAAAGCCACGGCUAACUACGUG
Molecule: ribosomal RNA, 497 nt
Filed under: uncultured bacterium
Lineage: Bacteria
Description: partial 16S ribosomal RNA
Rfam family: Bacterial small subunit ribosomal RNA
Source: RNAcentral